UCCCCCAUCCCCUCCAGGUGACUGCAGCGCUGGCUCAAGUUUGAGAACCACUGCUCUGCAGUCCAGAACAUCUUCCUGGGAAUUAGCUGGGAUGCAAAACCAUGUUGCCAUCUGAUCUCAUCACACUUCUGCCAAGAGGUGAAAUCUAAGAGUCCACGUUCUUGAUGCCUGACAUCUUCUUCAGGUCACUUACCUGAGAACACCUGAGGACACUGAGACCCCGGAUAUUUUUUCCCUGACUCAACUAUGCUUCCCUCAGCAACUCAGAGAAGUGUUGGCCAACCGAACACAAAGAAGCAAAGAAAGUAGAAAAGCGAUGUAAUCUGAAGCCACAUUGAGUCUGAGUCCAAGAAAUUGUGAUGGAAAAACACUAAGGCUCCUCACCUUGACUGUGACAAAGCUUGGGAGGGUGAAAUGGGAUGUGUGAACUUUCUGAAAACUGUCGACACUAUACAGUUCUUUGGCAAAAGGGCUGCUUGUAGUUAGCAACUUACUCCCGGAG
This 502-nucleotide long non-coding RNA is filed under the name Lynx canadensis (Canada lynx). RNAcentral describes it as "lncRNA (ENSLCNG00005000906.1)". Lineage: Eukaryota; Metazoa; Chordata; Mammalia; Carnivora; Felidae. The record is from RNAcentral.